RNAcentral lists this ribosomal RNA (253 nucleotides) under uncultured bacterium. Its description in RNAcentral is "partial 16S ribosomal RNA". It matches the Rfam family "Bacterial small subunit ribosomal RNA", at positions 524 to 776 of the family's 1533-position model. The record is from RNAcentral.
UACGUAGGUGGCAAGCGUUGUCCGGAUUUACUGGGCGUAAAGAGCGCGCAGGCGGUCGGAUAAGUCGAAUGUGAAAGCCCCCGGCUCAACUGGGGAGGGUCAUUCGAUACUGUUCGACUCGAAGGCAGGAGAGGGAAGUGGAAUUCCAGGUGUAGCGGUGAAAUGCGUAGAUAUCUGGAGGAAUACCGGUGGCGAAGGCGGCAUCCUGGACCGAUAUUGACACUGAGGAGCGAAAGCUAGGGGAGCAAACGGG